CACCGCCUUUUCACGGCGGUAACAACCCAUGCCGAACACAGAAGUUAAGCCCUAGAACGCCGGAAGUAGUUGGGGGUUGCCCCCUGUGAGAUAGGGAAGUCGCUUAGCU
RNAcentral lists this ribosomal RNA (109 nucleotides) under Streptococcus pneumoniae. Lineage: Bacteria; Bacillati; Bacillota; Bacilli; Lactobacillales; Streptococcaceae. The record is from RNAcentral.